RNAcentral lists this ribosomal RNA (450 nucleotides) under uncultured bacterium. Its description in RNAcentral is "partial 16S ribosomal RNA". It matches the Rfam family "Bacterial small subunit ribosomal RNA", at positions 354 to 796 of the family's 1533-position model. The record is from RNAcentral.
GUGGGGAAUUUUGGACAAUGGGCGAAAGCCUGAUCCAGCCAUGCCGCGUGCAGGAUGAAGGCCUUCGGGUUGUAAACUGCUUUUGUACGGAACGAAACGGUCCGGGUUAAUACCCUGGGUGGAUGACGGUACCGUAAGAAUAAGCACCGGCUAACUUCGUGCCAGCAGCCGCGGUAAUACGAAGGGUGCAAGCGUUAAUCGGAAUUACUGGGCGUAAAGCGUGCGUAGGUGGUUGUUCAAGUCUGUCGUGAAAGCCCUGGGCUAAACCUGGGAAUGGCGAUGGAAACUGGGCGACUAGAGUGCGGUAGAGGAUGGCGGAAUUCCCGGUGUAGCGGUGAAAUGCGUAGAGAUCGGGAGGAACAUCCGUGGCGAAGGCGGCCAUCUGGACCAGCACUGACACUGAGGCACGAAAGCGUGGGGAGCAAACAGGAUUAGAAACCCGGGUAGUCC